AGUGAACGCUGGCGGUAGGCCUAACACAUGCAAGUCGAACGGCAGCACAGUAGAGCUUGCUCUUACGGGUGGCGAGUGGCGGACGGGUGAGGAAUACAUCGGAAUCUACUUUUUCGUGGGGGAUAACGUAGGGAAACUUACGCUAAUACCGCAUACGACCUACGGGUGAAAGCAGGGGAUCUUCGGACCUUGCGCGAUUGAAUGAGCCGAUGUCGGAUUAGCUAGUUGGCGGGGUAAAGGCCCACCAAGGCGACGAUCCGUAGCUGGUCUGAGAGGAUGAUCAGCCACACUGGAACUGAGACACGGUCCAGACUCCUACGGGAGGCAGCAGUGGGGAAUAUUGGACAAUGGGCGCAAGCCUGAUCCAGCCAUACCGCGUGGGUGAAGAAGGCCUUCGGGUUGUAAAGCCCUUUUGUUGGGAAAGAAAAGCAGCAGGUUAAUACCCCGCUGUUCCGACGGUACCCAAAGAAUAAGCACCGGCUAACUUCGUG
Molecule: ribosomal RNA, 491 nt
Filed under: uncultured bacterium
Lineage: Bacteria
Description: partial 16S ribosomal RNA
Rfam family: Bacterial small subunit ribosomal RNA
Source: RNAcentral